GAUGAACGCUGGCGGCGUGCCUAAUACAUGCAAGUCGAGCGAACGGACGAGAAGCUUGCUUCUCUGAUGUUAGCGGCGGACGGGUGAGUAACACGUGGAUAACCUACCUAUAAGACUGGGAUAACUUCGGGAAACCGGAGCUAAUACCGGAUAAUAUUUUGAACCGCAUGGUUCAAAAGUGAAAGACGGUCUUGCUGUCACUUAUAGAUGGAUCCGCGCUGCAUUAGCUAGUUGGUAAGGUAACGGCUUACCAAGGCAACGAUGCAUAGCCGACCUGAGAGGGUGAUCGGCCACACUGGAACUGGAACACGGUCCAGACUCCUACGGGAGGCAGCAGUAGGGAAUCUUCCGCAAUGGGCGAAGGCCUGACGGAGCAACGCCGCGUGAGUGAUGAAGGUCUUCGGAUCGUAAAACUCUGUUAUUAGGGAAGAACAUAUGUGUAAGUAACUGUGCACAUCUUGACGGUACCUAAUCAGAAAGCCACGGCUAACUACGUG
This 497-nucleotide ribosomal RNA is filed under the name uncultured bacterium. RNAcentral describes it as "partial 16S ribosomal RNA". It matches the Rfam family "Bacterial small subunit ribosomal RNA", at positions 28 to 507 of the family's 1533-position model. The record is from RNAcentral.